ACUCCAAAAGAGAGAAUUGGAGAGGACGCAGGCAGGGAUUGCCCCUGUGCCUGUCAGACCUGGAAGGGCUUUAUCAAACUCUUAACCCUGGGUCAGAAAAAAAGCAAUUCAGGAAAAGCAAGCUUGUGUUUUAACUUAGAACUAGAUUUAACUUCCCUCUCUCCCAGGAGGAAAACCCACCCCUGCACGGAGGGUGUGUUGCCGCCCAGGCAGCUUGGCCGCCUUUCUGAAACCCGAGGGAAGGAACGAGCGUGCAUCACUGUGUCGGCACAGCAGGGCCACGCGUCCUGCGUUACAACGUGGAAGAGGUUACUACAGGCAGAAUGAAGAUAUCUGCUGGGAGCAACGAGGCUUUGUGAAAAACUGCGACCAUGAGAUACGCAGCUCCUCUUCUCGGAUGGGUUGCUUGGUAAUUUGCUGGGUGCCUGUGUACAGCCUCAGGUGGCACCACCGAAAGCCUCAUCGAGAGCAAUGGUGACACAAACCAACAAAAAACGGGCCUUCUGCAACACACCCAGAGGAAGGCGUCCCCAGCUCAGACAACAGCUUUGCCCUUGGUGGACAGGGAAAAGGAUGCUUUGAG
Molecule: long non-coding RNA, 583 nt
Organism: Grus americana (Whooping crane)
Lineage: Eukaryota; Metazoa; Chordata; Aves; Gruiformes; Gruidae
Exons: 3
Source: RefSeq, a predicted model, not a curated record